RNAcentral lists this long non-coding RNA (747 nucleotides) under Equus caballus (horse). RNAcentral's name for it is "lncRNA (ENSECAG00000054884.1)". The record is from RNAcentral. Lineage: Eukaryota; Metazoa; Chordata; Mammalia; Perissodactyla; Equidae.
CAAGACAGCAUUGUGUGGAAGGAGUUGGGUCAUUGGUACCAAGUUAGACAAUAAGUUUGACAGACGGGGACCCAUGGUGCUUCUCUGGAGCGUGGAGAGACAGGAUGUCUGCAGUGGCUACUGCUAUGUUAAUGGAUUCUUCUGGAAAUGUCAAGAUUGAUUAUCCACCCAAGCUGAAAGUGAAUAUGAACAGAGAAUCCGAAAUGAUGAAGACGCUGGGCCGGGCGACUCAGAUCUGGCCACCCCCUUCCAGAAUGGGACGAGAGAACAUUUCUUAAAGCUGCAAAUUGGAUUUGAACACACAAAGGUGGAGGGAGAUCUCGUCAAGAUGGCGGCGUAAGGAGACUCUGAACUCAUCUUCUCCCAUGAACACAACCACGUUACAACUAUUUUUGGAAAAAUUAUCCUGGAUAGAAAACUGAAAACUGGAUAAAAAGAACCCCCACAACAAGGGUCAGUUCUGACUAAGGCAGAAGGGGCAGAAAUUCCUGCUGGAGAGGAAAAAGCCACCUUUGGGAGCAGCGGAGCUUCUCAGCUGGCCAGGCGGGAGUCACCCUAAGGUACCCAGCCCUCCCUGGAGGAGUGAGGUCCGGAGCGGGGAUGAUACUGCUAUAAGCAUCCUUCAGACUCAACCCAACUGAGACGGGGGUCGUACUGUUGAAGAGUUCAAACAAAAAUCUCAUAAGGAUGCUCACAGAUACUGGGAGAAGACUGGAUCAACACAGUGAGCUCAUCAGCAAAGAACUG